CCCUUAGAUGUUCUGGGCCGCACGCGUGCUACACUGAGUGGAUCAGCGGGUCAGGUUGCGCGAAAGUGUUUCCUAAUCUUUAAAUCCGCUCGUGAUGGGGAUUGACGGUUGCAAUUUUCCGUCAUGAACGAGGAAUACCUUGUAAGCGCGGGUCAUCAUCCCGCGCUGAAUACGUCCCUGCCCUUUGUACACACCGCCCGUCGCUCCUACCGAUUGAGUGGUCCGGUGAGGCUUUGGGAUCUGGGCGGAAAGAGCGCUUCGCUGUUUCUGCCCGGAAAACUCAGUCGAACCUUAUCAUUUAGAGGAAGGAGAAGUCGUAACA
This 322-nucleotide ribosomal RNA is filed under the name uncultured eukaryote. RNAcentral describes it as "partial 18S ribosomal RNA". It matches the Rfam family "Eukaryotic small subunit ribosomal RNA", at positions 1470 to 1796 of the family's 1831-position model. The record is from RNAcentral.